UGGUUCUGGCAUCGAUGAAGAACGCAGCGAAAUGCGAUAAGUAAUGCGAAUUGCAGAAUCCGUGAGUCAUCGAAUCUUUGAACGCACAUUGCGCCCUUUGGUAUUCCGAAGGGCAUGCCUGUUCGAGCGUCAUUAUCACCACUCAAGCCCGGCUUGCUGUUGGUGGCAGCGGUACCGGUCAGCCGGCUCUGCUCCACCCAAAGAUAAUGACGGCGUCUGUGAGGACUCCUGUACACUGAGCUUUCGGGCACGUACAUGGUUAGAAGUCCAGACACCGGUCUCCGUCCUUCGGGACACUUUUUACAAGGUUGACCUCGGAUCAGGUAGGGAUACCCGCUGA
This 340-nucleotide unclassified non-coding RNA is filed under the name uncultured fungus. RNAcentral describes it as "partial contains 5.8S ribosomal RNA and internal transcribed spacer 2". The stretch from base 1 to 132 matches the Rfam family "5.8S ribosomal RNA", at positions 22 to 154 of the family's 154-position model. Lineage: Eukaryota; Fungi. The record is from RNAcentral.